RNAcentral lists this ribosomal RNA (388 nucleotides) under uncultured bacterium. RNAcentral describes it as "bacterial SSU rRNA". It matches the Rfam family "Bacterial small subunit ribosomal RNA", at positions 30 to 418 of the family's 1533-position model. The record is from RNAcentral.
AUUGAACGCUGGCGGCAUGCCUUACACAUGCAAGUCGAACGGCAGCGCGGACUUCGGUCUGGCGGCGAGUGGCGAACGGGUGAGUAAUGUAUCGGAACGUGCCCUAGAGUGGGGGAUAACGUAGCGAAAGUUACGCUAAUACCGCAUACGAUCUACGGAUGAAAGUGGGGGACCGCAAGGCCUCACGCUCAUGGAGCGGCCGAUAUCUGAUUAGCUAGUUGGUAGGGUAAAAGCCUACCAAGGCGACGAUCAGUAGCUGGUCUGAGAGGACGACCAGCCACACUGGGACUGAGACACGGCCCAGACUCCUACGGGAGGCAGCAGUGGGGAAUUUUGGACAAUGGGCGCAAGCCUGAUCCAGCCAUGCCGCGUGCGGGAAGAAGGCCUC